RNAcentral lists this ribosomal RNA (252 nucleotides) under uncultured bacterium. RNAcentral describes it as "partial 16S ribosomal RNA". It matches the Rfam family "Bacterial small subunit ribosomal RNA", at positions 524 to 776 of the family's 1533-position model. The record is from RNAcentral.
UACAGGGGGGGCAAGCGUUGUUCGGAAUUACUGGGCGUAAAGGGUUCGUAGGUGGCUCACUAAGUCACACGUGAAAUCCCUCAGCUUAACUGGGGAACUGCGUGUGAAACUGGAGAGCUUGAGGGUAGGAGAGGAAUGCGGAAUUCCAGGUGUAGCGGUGAAAUGCGUAGAUAUCUGGAGGAAACCGGUGGCGAAGGCGGCAUUCUGGACUAUUUCUGACACUGAUGAACGAAAGCCAGGGGAGCAAACGGG